CUCCAAUAGCGUAUAUUUAAGUUGUUGCAGUUAAAAAGCUCGUAGUUGGAUUUCGGGUUGGCGUCAGCGGUCCGGCUCUGCUGUGUACUGCUGUCGUCUUCCUUUCUGUCGGGGACGGGCUCUUGGACUUCACUGUCCGGGACUCGGAGUCGGCGAGGUUACUUUGAGUAAAUUAGAGUGUUCAAAGCAAGCGUUCGCUAUGAAUACAUUAGCAUGGAAUAACAUGAUAGGACUCUGGCUUAUCUUGUUGGUCUGUAAGACCGGAGUAAUGAUUAAGAGGGACAGUCGGGGGCAUUCGUAUUUCAUUGUCAGAGGUGAAAUUCUUGGAUUUAUGAAAGACGAACUUCUGCGAAAGCAUUUGCCAAGGAUGUUUUCAUUAAUCAAGAACGAAAGUUGGGGGCUCGAAGACGAUUAGAUACCGUCGUAGUCUCAACCAUAAACGAUGCCGACUAGGGAUUGGCAGGUGUUCCUUUGAUGACCCUGCCAGCACCUUAUGAGAAAUCAAAGUUUUUGGGUUCCGGGGGGAGUAUGGUCGCAAGGCUGAAA
Molecule: ribosomal RNA, 546 nt
Filed under: uncultured eukaryote
Lineage: Eukaryota
Description: SSU rRNA
Rfam family: Eukaryotic small subunit ribosomal RNA
Source: RNAcentral